UGUCUUGGAAUGACGUAAAACUUAGCCAACCUGUGAGACUGUAACACUCGUAAAAAAACGUA
Molecule: non-coding RNA, 62 nt
Organism: Peptoniphilus asaccharolyticus DSM 20463
Lineage: Bacteria; Bacillati; Bacillota; Tissierellia; Tissierellales; Peptoniphilaceae
Source: Rfam